UAAUACGUAGGGUGCGAGCGUUAAUCGGAAUUACUGGGCGUAAAGCGUGCGCAGGCGGUUCGCUGUGUCCGAUGUGAAAGCCCCGGGCUCAACCUGGGAAUGGCAUGGGAAACUGGCGGGCUGGAGUGUGGCAGAGGGGGGUGGAAUUCCGCGUGUAGCAGUGAAAUGCGUAGAGAUGCGGAGGAACACCGAUGGCGAAGGCAGCCCCCUGGGCCAACACUGACGCUCAGGCACGAAAGCGUGGGGAGCAAACAGGAUUAGAUACCCUGGUAGUCCACGCCCUAAACGAUGUCGACUGGGUGUUGGGGAAGCGAUUCCUUGGUACCGAAGCUAACGCGUGAAGUCGACCGCCUGGGGAGUACGGCCGCAAGGUUA
RNAcentral lists this ribosomal RNA (375 nucleotides) under uncultured bacterium. Its description in RNAcentral is "bacterial SSU rRNA". It matches the Rfam family "Bacterial small subunit ribosomal RNA", at positions 521 to 896 of the family's 1533-position model. The record is from RNAcentral.